RNAcentral lists this ribosomal RNA (468 nucleotides) under uncultured bacterium. RNAcentral describes it as "partial 16S ribosomal RNA". It matches the Rfam family "Bacterial small subunit ribosomal RNA", at positions 28 to 507 of the family's 1533-position model. The record is from RNAcentral.
GACGAACGCUGGCGGCGUGCUUAACGCAUGCAAGUCGAACGGAAAGGCCCUGCUUUUGUGGGGUGCUCGAGUGGCGAACGGGUGAGUAACACGCGAGUAACCUGCCCUUGACUUUGGGAUAACUUCAGGAAACUGGGGCUAAUAACGGAUAGGAGCUCCUGCUGCACGGUGGGGGUGGGAAAGUUUCGGCGGUCGGGGAUGGACUCGGGGCUUAUCAGCUUGUUGGUGGGGUAGUGGCUUACCGCGGCGUUGACGGGUUGCCGGCCUGCGAGGGUGACCGGGCCCAAUGGGCAAGGGAUAGCGCCCGGGCGCAUACGUGGGGCAUGAACGAGGGAUUGUCGGCGCAGGGCGGCGGCCUGAUGCAGCAACGCCGCGUGCGGGAUGACGGCCUACGGGUUGUAAACCGCUUUCGCCUGUGACGAAGCGUGAGUGACGGUAAUGGAUAAAGAAGCACCGGCUAACUACGUG